Molecule: ribosomal RNA, 775 nt
Filed under: uncultured Neocallimastigales
Lineage: Eukaryota; Fungi; Neocallimastigomycota; Neocallimastigomycetes; Neocallimastigales
Description: partial large subunit ribosomal RNA
Rfam family: Eukaryotic large subunit ribosomal RNA
Source: RNAcentral
UCAUAGCGACUAUCGUGGCAUAUCAAUAAGCGGAGGAAAAGAAACUAACAAGGAUUCCCUUAGUAACGGCGAGUGAAGCGGGAAGAGCUCAAAUUUGAAAUCUUCAAGGUUUUACCUUGACGAAUUGUAGUUUAAAGAAGUGUUUUCUGUUGAAGUUUUGGUAAAAGUUCUUUGGAAUAGGACAUCAUAGAGGGUGAGAAUCCCGUAUUUGACCAUUAUUUUCAGCUGUGUGAUACACUUUCAAAGAGUCGGAUUGUUUGGGAAUGCAGUCCAAAAUGGGUGGUAAAUUUCAUCUAAAGCUAAAUAUUGGCGAGAGACCGAUAGCGAACAAGUACCGUGAGGGAAAGAUGAAAAGAACUUUGAAAAGAGAGUUAAACAGUACGUGAAAUUGUCAAAAGGGAAGCGUUUGACACCAGUGUUGUUUUCUCGAAAAUCAAUUAAAAAAGGCCGGAUUUUGUGUUGUAUUGACCUUAAAAGCUUUCUUCACUCUUUUCUUGUCUUUUUUAAUGCACUUUUCGUUUAACAAGUCAACAUCAGUUUCUUUUGUUGUAAAAGGGUCAUUGGAAGGUGGCUUUCUUUUCGGAGAAAGUGUUUAUAGCCUUUGAUCUCUGCAACCGGAGAGACUGAGGUCUGCAGCGUAGACUCUUCGGGGUUAGAUACAUUUGUGCUAAGCUAUAGCUUUUAUAGACAACUUGUUGACUAUAGUUUAGUCUUGUGGCUUACUCGCUUAUGCUAUUUUACCUACGCUUAGGAUGUUGACGAGACUGUCGAUCUC